Molecule: non-coding RNA, 46 nt
Organism: Schistosoma curassoni
Lineage: Eukaryota; Metazoa; Platyhelminthes; Trematoda; Strigeidida; Schistosomatidae
Source: Rfam
GCACUGCUGAGGAGUCGCCCAAUAGGACGAAACGGCCGUCCAGUGC